Molecule: ribosomal RNA, 439 nt
Filed under: uncultured bacterium
Lineage: Bacteria
Description: partial 16S ribosomal RNA
Rfam family: Bacterial small subunit ribosomal RNA
Source: RNAcentral
CUACGGGUGGCUGCAGUGAGGAAUAUUGCACAAUGGGGGGAACCCUGAUGCAGCAACGCCGCGUGGAGGAUGACGCAUUUCGGUGUGUAAACUCCUUUUAUAUGUCAAGAAAAUGACGGUAGCAUAUGAAUAAGCACCGGCUAACUCCGUGCCAGCAGCCGCGGUAAUACGGAGGGUGCAAGCGUUACUCGGAAUCACUGGGCGUAAAGGACGCGUAGGCGGGUUGGAAAGUCAGGUGUGAAAUCCUACAGCUUAACUGUGGAACUGCACUUGAAACUUCUAAUCUAGAGUAUGGGAGGGGGAGAUGGAAUUAGUGGUGUAGGGGUAAAAUGCGUAGAUAUCACUAGGAAUACCGAAAGCGAAGGCGAUCUCCUGGAACAUUACUGACGCUAAGGCGUGAAAGCGUGGGGAGCAAACAGGAUUAGAUACCCCGGUAGUC